GAGGUUCUGGGGCGGGCACCUAAGGGAAUGGGACCAGUAACUGUCACUCUGUGGCUGCCGGUCUCGCCCUCCAGGCUUCGCCCCCUCCUGGUCUCCGAGACGUUUUGGCGUUGGUUUUUCUGUGCCUAUCAGCGUGUUUUUGCCUGUUUGCUUGUUUGCUUAAAUAUAGGGCCUUAGCUCCCAGAGCAAGCCUCAGGAAUGCGCUUGUCAGACGGUGCCUCUCCUCGUAGAUCCUCCGGUCAGGACCUCCAGGGGACGCCACGAAUCCAUAGCAGCCUUCCCUGCCGGGUCGGGCCUACUCACCUCGACCGAGCUCGGGGGCCCAGCAAACAUGGUCUCCGAGUCCUCAUCUGGAAAAUGAGGAAGUCAGAAGACGUCGAUGGAACGAUGGAGGCAAAGCAUGCUAUAGCACAAGGUGAGAAGCUCCCCUGGCUAGGAUCACAGCUUGGCAACAGCUGCAGAGACAAGGAGCAGAUCUGCUCUCCAUGCUCUCCUCCCCAGCCUAAGUUUGCUGAUUGUUAUGGAUUGAAUUAUGUCACCCUGAAAAGAUAUAUUGGAGUUUUUACAACCAGGACCUUAUUGGGACAUAAGGUCCUUGCAGAUAUGAUUAAGAUGAAGUCACACUGGUGUAGGGUUGGCCUCUAAUGCAACGUGACUGGUGAAAUGACGUGCAGACCUGCAUAAAAAACCCCAGGAUUCUACAAGUCAAAGCGACUGGCACAGAUGCCCCGUUGGCCCUCAGAACUAAUCCUGCUGACACCUUAUUCUGAGCUUCUAGCCUCCAGAACUGGGAGACCUUCCAUUUCUGUUGAUUACGGCGCCCUCACCGUGCCGUUUGCGGUCCUUCAUUAUGGCAGCCCUACCAGACUAACCCACUAAAGGGAGGAAGGAGGCCGGCGGGAGAUCGCGGCGCAAGUCGGGAGGAUGGGCACCACCCGCGCGGGCUGGGAGCCAGCAGGAGAUGCAGCCCCUACGCGCCAACGCGACCCGACCCGGGAAGCCCACCGUUCACCCGCAGCUCCACCCUGGCUCGCAAUGAGGUGCAGGCGCAGGCCAGACCGGCAGUGGGGAGUGGGGGGAAGAAAGGGUCGAGAAUGAGGCUGACUCCUAGGAGCUGUAGCCUCACCUGUUCACUGAACCGAAACCUCAGUGAGGCCCAAGUUGCGCUUAUGUUCUUCUCAUAGGUUUCCGAAAGCGGUAACAAGCGUAGCAGCAGCAGGGGGAGCAGCCUGGAAGGCAAAGCCGAGGCCCUGGGCUUGCAAGCACUGCCUCCUCGGCUCCUGAGGCCUCUGUGGAGGGAGUGGGGCAGUGGGUCUGGACAUAAAGGCAUCUGUGGGCCCCCUCUUCUCAUUUCCCCAACUUCUUCAUAUGCUAGAAGUGGGGGAGGGGCUCUUGAGAAAAUUCUGCAUGCGAGUAUUAAAUGCAAGGCUGUCAGCUCCAGGCAGUUGCAAGGAGACACUCCCUUGCUGAUUCUAACAGCAACAUUUGCAGAAUUUGAACACAUAAGCCAAGUCCACUGGAAAUCUGCACCACAGGUGGCAGUUCCUGUCUUCUCAGCCAGCACUGAUAUUCCAAGAAACGCUUAGAGCUGUGCUUUUCAACUUGUGGCUAUCUUGAGGAAAUAAGGUCAGAAACUCUCCUUAAAGGUAUUUCAUGAUAUGUUUUGCAACACCUGUUAAGACCGUGAAGGAGGGAAUGUAACAGUAAUAAAUGAAUUUGUAGUAGAGGAAAAGGGGAACAAAAUCUUUGUUCAAAACUGAACACUAACAUUUACUGGAAAGUGAACUCAAACUGCCCCAGAAACUUUGUCCACUAAUGGGCAGAGGUGGAUGGGGUGGCAAUUUCUUCUUGUUCUCCAGAUUUUCUUAGUCUGAGGGUCAGAGUUAAAGCUGAAAGCUGAUUUUGUUCAACCCCAAGCAUCCUGUCACAGGAGACUGAGGAGGAACAGAAAAGAAAAACAAAAAGCUAGUGAAUCGGCGCAGGAAUGUCUGCCUGAACCCUUGCAAGCUGCUACUUCAUGUGUCUGCACUCCAGCCUCUCUCCUACCAUUUCCCCUCAAAAAGCCCUGACCACUUGUGUCAGGAGGACGGUGGUUCUCUAAGGCAGGAGCCUGCCACUCCCUCGUUUGCUAGCAAGUCAAUAAACUAUUCUUCCCUUUCCUCAAAACCUUGUCACUGUGUUUUGUGGUUUGACCUCAGGGACGAGGACCGGGUCUUGGUAUCAGGAGCAGCACCCCCCACCCCGACCAAGUGCCCGCAGGGCCGCUCCUUCAGUGUCAAGAGCCCACAGGGCCG
Non-coding RNA from Manis javanica (Malayan pangolin), 2294 nucleotides. Lineage: Eukaryota; Metazoa; Chordata; Mammalia; Pholidota; Manidae. The record is from RefSeq and is a predicted model, not a curated record.